Molecule: ribosomal RNA, 469 nt
Filed under: Salmonella enterica
Lineage: Bacteria; Pseudomonadati; Pseudomonadota; Gammaproteobacteria; Enterobacterales; Enterobacteriaceae
Description: bacterial SSU rRNA
Rfam family: Bacterial small subunit ribosomal RNA
Source: RNAcentral
AAAUUGAAGAGUUUGAUCAUGGCUCAGAUUGAACGCUGGCGGCAGGCCUAACACAUGCAAGUCGAACGGUAGCACAGAGAGCUUGCUCUCGGGUGACGAGUGGCGGACGGGUGAGUAAUGUCUGGGAAACUGCCUGAUGGAGGGGGAUAACUACUGGAAACGGUGGCUAAUACCGCAUAACGUCGCAAGACCAAAGAGGGGGACCUUCGGGCCUCUUGCCAUCAGAUGUGCCCAGAUGGGAUUAGCUAGUUGGUGAGGUAACGGCUCACCAAGGCGACGAUCCCUAGCUGGUCUGAGAGGAUGACCAGCCACACUGGAACUGAGACACGGUCCAGACUCCUACGGGAGGCAGUAGUGGGGAAUAUUGCACAAUGGGCGCAAGCCUGAUGCAGCCAUGCCGCGUGUAUGAAGAAGGCCUUCGGGUUGUAAAGUACUUUCAGCGGGGAGGAAGGUGUUGUGGUUAAUAACC